GACGAACGCUGGCGGCGUGCUUAACACAUGCAAGUCGAACGAUGAAGCGGGUGCUUGCACUCGUGGAUUAGUGGCGAACGGGCGAGUAACACGUGAGUAACCUGUCCUUUUCUUUGGGAUAACGGCUGGAAACGGCUGCUAAUACUGGAUAUUCAGGCUGCAUCGCAUGGUGUGGUUGGGAAAGGUUUUUUCUGGGAUUGGGUGGGCUCGCGGCCUAUCAGCUUGUUGGUGGGGUGAUGGCUUACCAAGGCUUUGACGGGUAGCCGGCCUGAGAGGGUGGUCGGUCGCACUGGGACUGAGAUACGGCCCAGACUCCUACGGGAGGCAGCAGUGGGGAAUAUUGCACAAUGGACGAAAGUUUGAUGCAGCGACGCCGCGUGGAGGGUGUAGGCCUUCGGGUUGUGAACUCCUUUUUCUCGCGAAAAAGGCACAGUUUUGGCUGUGUUGAUGGUAGUGGGGGAAGAAGCGCCGGCUAACUACGUG
This 483-nucleotide ribosomal RNA is filed under the name uncultured bacterium. RNAcentral's name for it is "partial 16S ribosomal RNA". It matches the Rfam family "Bacterial small subunit ribosomal RNA", at positions 28 to 507 of the family's 1533-position model. The record is from RNAcentral.